GACAGAGGGGGCAAGCGUUGCUCGGAAUUACUGGGCGUAAAGGGCGCGUAGGCGGCCUUCUAAGUCGGACGUGAAAUCCCUCGGCUUAACCGAGGAACUGCGUCCGAUACUGAAAGGCUUGAAUCCGGGAGAGGGAUGUGGAAUUCCAGGUGUAGCGGUGAAAUGCGUAGAUAUCAGGAGGAACACCGGUGGCGAAGGCGGAUCUCUGGGCCUUACCUGACGCUCAGGUGCGAAAGCUAGGGGAGCGAACAGG
This 253-nucleotide ribosomal RNA is filed under the name uncultured bacterium. RNAcentral describes it as "partial 16S ribosomal RNA". It matches the Rfam family "Bacterial small subunit ribosomal RNA", at positions 524 to 776 of the family's 1533-position model. The record is from RNAcentral.